Molecule: long non-coding RNA, 559 nt
Filed under: Hordeum vulgare
Lineage: Eukaryota; Viridiplantae; Streptophyta; Magnoliopsida; Poales; Poaceae
Description: long non-coding RNA (HVUL_LNC010707)
Source: RNAcentral
GGGAUCUCCCUUUGGAAAAAAGAUUGAAACCUUUGGUAAAAGCCCUAAGUAACUCGGUUGCCAGGGGUUAUGAAAGUGGACAUGGAAGAUGAUGGUGGUAUGGCUCGGAGGAGACAUCUCUAAGUUUGAGCUCGUAUUUUUGGUUUUUGAGUCUUUGGUGCGAGGUUUUUACCUGAGGUCUUCAUCAGAACAUACGCUUGAUACAUGGUUUGACUUCCUAUUGAAGAAAAUUUCGCACUUUUGCAUUGAAUGUGUAGGCUUGUUCAUGCGAAUGGUGUAGGGAGAACUAAGGAAAACUAAGAGUUUAUGUGCAUAUCAUGGCGCAUCCUUGUUGUUUGACAUGGAUGGUACUAGGCAAAGUUUUGUUUGUGUCGAAAUCUAAAACAACACCUAUACACCAGUACAAUAAAGAUUAUCAAGAUGCGCAAAUGCGUGAUUCAGCGCGCUACUAGUUAAGAACCAUGAUCCAUGUUCAAAUUCAUUUGCUCAAAUUUCACUUUCCAACCGACACCACGAUACGGGGGCAUGGCAUACGUAUGCCCAGAAGCAACAGCGGCGG